Molecule: ribosomal RNA, 614 nt
Filed under: Lactococcus lactis
Lineage: Bacteria; Bacillati; Bacillota; Bacilli; Lactobacillales; Streptococcaceae
Description: bacterial SSU rRNA
Rfam family: Bacterial small subunit ribosomal RNA
Source: RNAcentral
UACUUGUACCGACUGGAUGAGCAGCGAACGGGUGAGUAACGCGUGGGGAAUCUGCCUUUGAGCGGGGGACAACAUUUGGAAACGAAUGCUAAUACCGCAUAAAAACUUUAAACACAAGUUUUAAGUUUGAAAGAUGCAAUUGCAUCACUCAAAGAUGAUCCCGCGUUGUAUUAGCUAGUUGGUGAGGUAAAGGCUCACCAAGGCGAUGAUACAUAGCCGACCUGAGAGGGUGAUCGGCCACAUUGGGACUGAGACACGGCCCAAACUCCUACGGGAGGCAGCAGUAGGGAAUCUUCGGCAAUGGACGAAAGUCUGACCGAGCAACGCCGCGUGAGUGAAGAAGGUUUUCGGAUCGUAAAACUCUGUUGGUAGAGAAGAACGUUGGUGAGAGUGGAAAGCUCAUCAAGUGACGGUAACUACCCAGAAAGGGACGGCUAACUACGUGCCAGCAGCCGCGGUAAUACGUAGGUCCCGAGCGUUGUCCGGAUUUAUUGGGCGUAAAGCGAGCGCAGGUGGUUUAUUAAGUCUGGUGUAAAAGGCAGUGGCUCAACCAUUGUAUGCAUUGGAAACUGGUAGACUUGAGUGCAGGAGAGGAGAGUGGAAUUCCAUGUGGU